GGUAAUACGUAGGGUGCGAGCGUUAAUCGGAAUUACUGGGCGUAAAGCGAGCGCAGACGGUUAGUUAAGCAAGAUGUGAAAUCCCUGAGCUCAACUUGGGAACUGCGUUUUGAACUGGCUAGCUAGAGUGUGUCAGAGGGGGGUAGAAUUCCACGUGUAGCAGUGAAAUGCGUAGAGAUGUGGAGGAAUACCGAUGGCGAAGGCAGCCCCCUGGGAUAACACUGACGUUCAUGCUCGAAAGCGUGGGUAGCAAACAGGAUUAGAUACCCUGGUAGUCCACGCCCUAAACGAUGUCAAUUAGCUGUUGGGCAACUUGAUUGCUUAGUAGCGUAGCUAACGCGUGAAAUUGACCGCCUGGGGAGUACGGUCGCAAGAUUAAAACUCAAAGGAAUUGACGGGGACCCGCACAAGCGGUGGAUGAUGUGGAUUAAUUCGAUGCAACGCGAAGAACCUUACCUGGUCUUGACAUGUACGGAAUCUUUCAGAGAUGGAAGAGUGCCUUCGGGAGCCGUAACACAGGUGCUGCAUGGCUGUCGUCAGCUCGUGUCGUGAGAUGUUGGGUUAAGUCCCGCAACGAGCGCAACCCUUGUCAUUAGUUGCCAUCAUUAAGUUGGGCACUCUAAUGAGACUGCCGGUGACAAACCGGAGGAAGGUGGGGAUGACGUCAAGUCCUCAUGGCCCUUAUGACCAGGGCUUCACACGUCAUACAAUGGUCGGUACAGAGGGUAGCCAAGCCGCGAGGUGGAGCCAAUCCCAGAAAACCGAUCGUAGUCCGGAUUGCACUCUGCAACUCGAGUGCAUGAAGUCGGAAUCGCUAGUAAUCGCAGGUCAGCAUACUGCGGUGAAUACGUUCCCGGGUCUUGUACACACCGCCCGUCACACCAUGGGAGUGGGGGAUACCAGAAGUAGAUAGGGUAACCGCAAGGAGCCCGUUUACCACGGUAUGUUUCAUGACUGGGGUGAAGUCGUAACAAGGUAGCCGUAGGGGAACCUGCGGCUGGAUCACCUCCUUU
Molecule: ribosomal RNA, 1013 nt
Filed under: Kingella kingae
Lineage: Bacteria; Pseudomonadati; Pseudomonadota; Betaproteobacteria; Neisseriales; Neisseriaceae
Description: bacterial SSU rRNA
Rfam family: Bacterial small subunit ribosomal RNA
Source: RNAcentral